Molecule: non-coding RNA, 822 nt
Organism: Dermacentor albipictus
Lineage: Eukaryota; Metazoa; Arthropoda; Arachnida; Ixodida; Ixodidae
Source: RefSeq, a predicted model, not a curated record
UAAUUUCAAAAUCAGCAAGAUUUGAGUCCGGCGUCUUUUAGUGGGUCUGGACACCCGCCGCGGACGCGGUUCCGAGACCUUGUCUCGAAGCGGCUUCCUCGGCUCAUAUUAAUUUGGAAUAAUCCACCCAUUUCUAGGCCAAUCUCCCACCUUGGGUAGGAGCCCACGCGUCACAGGCUACAACAGCAACAACAACAACGACCACCCGAAGAAGCCGCCCGCAACACCAUGACCACAACGCCACCACGACGGGUAUCAGGUACUUGGGCGACAACGCCACCUUCGGCUUGGGCGACGCUGCAUACAGCUAGAGUUGCAGACGAGAAACGCGGUCGGCGUCCGAGCGCGUGCCACUCAUCCACGCGAAAGGAAAAGGAACAGCAUCCAAUCCAAAGCCUAUCCGUAGCAGAAAGCCUGAGCAGCCCCCUGAGCGACAAAGCGACGUCAUCAUUCGAAGCUAACGAAGAGCUCAAGCAUGUCCCGCAUUGUCCGAAUGGCUCUCUUCUCGCGGAAAUUCACCACCUCGGUCAUCCGCAGGAGCGCCCACGAUGAUCACGACACGUCCGGCAUCGUUGGCUCGAAUCUGCCGUUUAAGACCGACAACCGCUUCGGGCUAACCUUUAAGUUCGCCCUGUUCUUCGGCAUUCCUUUCGCGAUACCUUACGACGCUGUUAGGUUCCAUUUGACAAAGAAGACCGCUUGAAGUCGGAUUAUGUUACGCAAGAGCAAGCCCUUGUCUCUGUACCGGACUCUGUUCAAGAGCAGAAGCUAAGCUGUAAGCGUUCAUGUAAAAAAAAAUGAACACAAUUUUGUUCUGUGCUA